RNAcentral lists this small nuclear RNA (105 nucleotides) under Propithecus coquereli (Coquerel's sifaka). Lineage: Eukaryota; Metazoa; Chordata; Mammalia; Primates; Indriidae. The record is from RNAcentral.
AUACUCACUUUGUCAGCACAUAUUCUAAAAUUGGACUGAUAACAGAGAUUAGCAUGGCUCCUGCGCAAGGAUGACAGGCAAAUUCAUGAAAAAUUCCAGUUUUCA